Molecule: long non-coding RNA, 1631 nt
Filed under: Homo sapiens (human)
Lineage: Eukaryota; Metazoa; Chordata; Mammalia; Primates; Hominidae
Description: non-protein coding lnc-SNX10-2:10
Source: RNAcentral
CCUCAGCUUCCUGAGUAGCUGGGACUACAGUACCAGAGAUGUCUCCAAGAGCACCAGCAACCCCAGCUAUCUGGAUCUGAAGUGGAUAUGCUCAGAGACAUCCUGGCCCACCCCAAAGAAGAUGCUGCUGCACUCAGAAGACGCCAGAGCUAGCCACCACCCACACUGCAAGUCUGGAAGCUCUGCAAGGACCCAGCAAGGCAGCCUGCUCAGCGAAGGCUUUGUCUCCUGUGGCAGGAAGAGCAACAUUAAGAACAAGAACCCCGGGCUGGACUACCCCUGAGAUUUAAUGACCAGAGCUGAGACCCCCAAGACCACAAUGACUAUGGAGGGCUGUCAUUACCCUGCCUGACCCUCUAAUGCCUCUCAGUUCAAGGAGGCCACUGAGUGAAACUGAAGGCUGGUUUUCCUUGGAAGCCAGCGGCCCAUCCACCUGCUCCACUUCCCUGCCUCUUGCAGCCUCCGCUCAAACACUGUCGUGGCUUGGCAGCACUACAAGGCAGAGUGAAAACAGAUACUUCUACCCACAUUCCUAUCUCCUCUCAUUUACGCAGAUUAAAUGCUUUCUUUCCUUGUUUUACACUGCUAGGAUUUUCAUCACCCUGUUUUUUCUUUCUCUACAUCAGCUACAAGAAAAAAAAAAGGAGUUACUGAGCAACUAAGAAGUCACAACUGUUUUCAGUUUUAUUAAUGAGUUGUUAUACUUAUUUUAUAGAUAGAGAAUUACCAUUAUAACAUUGCUCCAUUGCCCACUCAUCCAUUCACGCAUCUGUCCAUCCGUCCAUCCACCCAUUUGUCCACUCCCCAAAUGGUCAUCAAUUGUCUACUGUGAGCCAAGCAAAGUGCUCCUUACUUUGGACUCUGAAUCCAGUGCUCUUUCUACUUCACCAUAGACACAUGCCCCUUGAGUAUAAGGGAGCUUGAUUCAUUCAACAAAUAUCUGUUGUCCAUCUCCAAUGUACUGGCAUAUUCUAAAUGCAUCCAACAAAAACCAAAAUGAAAAAAAAGAAAAACCCAUUCCUUCAAGGGGAUUGCAUUCGGACUGGGGGAGACAGAUAAAAUAAAAAUAAUGAAGUCAAAUAUAUAUGUUAGUGACAUGUGCCAUGAAGAAUAAUGCCCAAUAGUAUUUCAGGGGCUGCCAAGCUGCUCUCCUGUUUCCUCUUCCUUGGGGCUGAUUGCAUCCCAUGAUGUGCCCAGGUUUUGAGAUGCUCCUCGUGAAUGAAAAUAGGACUGUCUGGUUCCUCCAUCCAUAGCAAGGGAGCCUAGACAGAAAUAACUUCUGUGCAUUUCUCCAGCUACAUUUAGCUGAAAAUAUGUCUACGUGAGGUUAACUGUAUUUACCCAAUGCCAGAUACCUGAAAGAGUGUGAAAAAUUAAGGGAAAACUAGAAAAUACAGAAAUAUAUCAAGAAGAAAAAAAAUUUAAAAAUGACCCAAAAUCCCACCAACCAGAGACAGCUAUUAAUGAUUGUGGUAUAUUUAUUGUAAGUCUCUUUAUUUCUGUCUUCAUGCAAACACAUUUUUAAAGAAUGGACACUGGUAUUAUAUUGUUUAUACAACUCUAAAUGCUGCUUUUUCACUUAUUACAAUUAGGACUUUUUUCAUGUUAAUAAAUACUUCCUGAAAACAUAA